Long non-coding RNA from Poeciliopsis prolifica (blackstripe livebearer), 1871 nucleotides. RefSeq lists it as uncharacterized. The record is from RefSeq and is a predicted model, not a curated record. The transcript has 4 exons. Lineage: Eukaryota; Metazoa; Chordata; Actinopteri; Cyprinodontiformes; Poeciliidae.
AAUAUCACAAAAUGUUUAGAAAAUAAACAAAACUCAUUAGCAAGUGAGAGACAAGAGUAAAAUUUUGAGCAUCUGUUUUUUCAUAUAUUUGCAAACAUUUUCCAAGUCAUCAGUAUAAAUAAAAAUAAAAAAUAAAAAAACGUAACAUUUCUGUUAAUGAUUCAUUUGGUUCCAAUUACCUUUUUGUUCAUUGUUUGCUCUGAGGCACCGUUGCCAAUAAAGGUUGGUGAAUUGAAGUACCGGUAGGCACUUUACACAUCCACUGAAGAAAAUAGUUCCAAAACAUAUUUGAAUAAGGAGGACAACGAAAUGUAUUUAUUUACAUUGAGAACUUUUGCUACAUCGGUUUUACAUUUGUUAAACCGAUGUAGCACUCUCAAAAAUUAAUCUUGUGUUUCUUGGAAAACGUAAAAUGACCCGCGGAUGGAUAUGCGGUUUCAAAAUCAAGCCUGUUCUCUUCAUCAGUCCGUUGGCGCGGAGUCUGCCUGUUGGCUGAUCUACGAAAGAAUCUGGGUUUUGUCGCCUCAUUCGAGAACUCACCAGUGAAUACCUGCGUGCUCGCUCCGCCGAUUCCACUGCCUCCACUCCACCCUUUGAGCUUCCAGCUCUCUUCCAUUCCCACCUCGCAUUUACCUUCGGAACCGCUGCACACCCUCUCUCAGGAACCUGGCAUCUCACACCCACGCCUCGAAAGACCCGCACCGAAGUAAGCCUGUUCCUGUUUCCCCUCCGAUCACUCAUUCUAAGCCCGUCAUAACUAAGUUCUCGUUUCAGGCCAACCUGGUCGAGUGGUCCUCACCCUUCCGCUGAUGUCCGGGAAAUAGAUUUUAUUUUGUCCUGUUGUAAAUAAAUCACUCACUCAUCCCUAUCCAACGUGUGGUUACUGCAUGUGGGUCCGUAAAUUGAAACCCAUCAUGUCAAUCAGUGGCCAAGCCUGAAACAAAUAUUGAAAGAUGAAGAAAUUCUUUUUGAUAUUUUUGCAAUAUUUAGCUAGCAGUUAUGUGAAAUGUACUUAUAUUUAAUUGUAGCUCUAAUUUUUUUAUAUGUGCAAUGUUUUAGGCUUUAUUAGUUACAUUUAUAGUGAUUUUCUAAACUUCUCUUAAGAGUAAUACUACUGUCUUAGUCCUGUCACGUUAACAAAGAAAUUAGGAUAAUUGCAAAACUGUUCAGUGUUUACAAUAUAAGGCUUCAGUAGUUAAUCCAUACAAAGGCUGUUUUGCCUUAAUUUUUUUAUUUUUUUGAAAAGUCUAAAUGUUAUAUUGCACUAAUAAAAUAUAUAUUUUUGCAGGCUUCAAGAGGAUCAGCGUGUGAAGAUCACUUUAUAAUGAUUUGAAAAAGGUUGCCAUGGCUACAGAAAUUGGAGGAGCAUCCUUAGAUGACACAAUACAACCAGCUGUGCGAUUCCUCAUGUCCCAUGAACUGGAAGUCCAGUUCAACCUUUUUGGCCAACAUGGGAAACAAGCUCUUGGACCUGCGUCUCUUUGAUGUUUUGUAUGGGGACUUAAAAGAAAUUAUCCAUCUACAGAAUCACACAAGCAUACAGCAAAGACUCUCGAAGUGGUUUACUGGAGCCCGAGUGGAAGUGGAAAUAGACUAGAGAGACUGCCAGUUCAAACUCAGGUUGGGGAGGUCUUUCAAGAUGGACAGUUUCAGUAAAGUAUGAGAGAUUUCAAAUUUAAGCAUGCAUAUGGCAUGUAGGUUAUUUUUAAAAAUGUUUAACAAAAAUGUAUUGUGAAAGAUCUAUAUAGGUGUGUAUAUUCACAUUGUGUGUAUCAAUGUGAAUAUACGUGUAUAAAGUUAUAUAGAUAGUAUUUAGAUGUAUACAUUUAUAGACCUGUAGGAAAAUAUGUAGGUGUCUUUAUUUGUGUGCA